UGCAAGUCGAACGGWAAGGCCCAAGCUUGCUUGGGUACUCGAGUGGCGAACGGGUGWKUWWCACGUGGGUGAUCUGCCCUGCACUUCGGGAUAAGCCUGGGAAACUGGGUCUAAUACCGGAUAGGACCACUUCGUAGUUGUUGUGGUGGAAAGUUUUUUCGGUGUGGGAUGAGCUCGCGGCCUAUCAGCUUGUUGGUGGGGUAAUGGCCUACCAAGGCGUCKACGGGUAGCCGGCCUGAGAGGGUGUACGGCCACAUUGGGACUGAGAUACGGCCCAGACUCCUACGGGAGGCAKCAKUGGGGAAUAUUGCACAAUGGGCGGAAGCCUGAUGCAGCGACGCCGYGUGGGGKAUGACGGCCUUCGGGUUGUAAWCUCCUUUCGCCAAAGACGAAUUUUGACGGUAUUUGGAGAARAAGCACCGGCUAAYUACGUGCCAKCAGCCGCGGUAAUACGUARGGUGCKAGCGUUGUCCGGAAUUACUGGGYGUAAAGARYUCGUARGUGGUUUGKCSCGKCSUUUGUGGAAKUCCMCGGCUUAACUGU
This 543-nucleotide ribosomal RNA is filed under the name Corynebacterium riegelii. RNAcentral's name for it is "partial 16S ribosomal RNA". Lineage: Bacteria; Bacillati; Actinomycetota; Actinomycetes; Mycobacteriales; Corynebacteriaceae. The record is from RNAcentral.